Acanthosepion pharaonis is the source of this 95-nucleotide non-coding RNA. The record is from the annotation of a GenBank genome assembly. NCBI's taxonomy places the organism in Eukaryota, Metazoa, Mollusca, Cephalopoda, Sepiida, Sepiidae.
UAACACCGGUUCCCGUACGGCUACCAAAGUUAAGCAACGUUGGACUAGUUCAGUACAUAGAUGAGAGACUGCUUGGGAAUACCAGGUUCUGUAAU